CAGCAGCCGCGGUAAUACGUAGGGUGCAAGCGUUAAUCGGAAUUACUGGGCGUAAAGCGUGCGCAGGCGGUUAUAUAAGACAGAUGUGAAAUCCCCGGGCUCAACCUGGGAACUGCAUUUGUGACUGUAUAGCUAGAGUACGGCAGAGGGGGAUGGAAUUCCGCGUGUAGCAGUGAAAUGCGUAGAUAUGCGGAGGAACACCGAUGGCGAAGGCAAUCCCCUGGGCCUGUACUGACGCUCAUGCACAAAAGCGUGGGGAGCAAACAGGAUUAGAUACCCCAGUAGUCCCUGUCUCUUAUAC
This 301-nucleotide ribosomal RNA is filed under the name uncultured bacterium. RNAcentral describes it as "partial 16S ribosomal RNA". It matches the Rfam family "Bacterial small subunit ribosomal RNA", at positions 509 to 807 of the family's 1533-position model. The record is from RNAcentral.